This 446-nucleotide ribosomal RNA is filed under the name uncultured bacterium. RNAcentral's name for it is "partial 16S ribosomal RNA". It matches the Rfam family "Bacterial small subunit ribosomal RNA", at positions 338 to 795 of the family's 1533-position model. The record is from RNAcentral.
CCUACGGGCGGCAGCAGUCGAGAAUCAUUCACAAUGGGGGAAACCCUGAUGGUGCGACGCCGCGUGGGGGAAUGAAGGUCUUCGGAUUGUAAACCCCUGUCAUGUGGGAGCAAAUUAAAAAGAUAGUACCACAAGAGGAAGAGACGGCUAACUCUGUGCCAGCAGCCGCGGUAAUACAGAGGUCUCAAGCGUUGUUCGGAAUCACUGGGCGUAAAGCGUGCGUAGGCUGUUUCGUAAGUCGUGUGUGAAAGGCGCGGGCUCAACCCGCGGACGGCACAUGAUACUGCGAGACUAGAGUAAGGGAGGGGGAACCGGAAGUCUCGGUGUAGCAGGGAAAUGCGUAGAUAUCGAGAGGAACACUCGUGGCGAAGGCGGGUUCCUGGACAUUAACUGACGCUGAGGCACGAAGGCCAGGGGAGCGAAAGGGAUUAGAUACCCCUGUAGUC